AGCUCACCUUAGUCUCUUUAUUAAACUAAACAAACUUUUAGACUUAAGAGCUAUUCAAAUAAGGCACAGCUUAUUUGAAAUAGGAUACAACCUACAACAUAGGGUAAACGAGAGUGACCUAAAUAAAGUGGGCCUAAAAGCAGCCACCUUUAGAAAAGCGUUAAAGCUUAACUACCUUCACUCAUAAUGCCUAAAAUCUCCACUAACCCCUCAUUACUACUGAACAAUUUUAUAUUCAUAUAAAAGCUAUCAUGCUAGAACUAGUAACAAGAAACUGCUUUUCUCCUAAAUGUAAACAUAAGCCAAAAUAGACUCUCUAUUGGUUAUUAACGUAGAUGCUAAACUGUAGCAACACUCACUAGAAAAUCCUAUAAACCCCAACGUUAACCUUACACCAGAACAUUACAGGAAAGAUUAAAAGAAAAAGAAGGAACUCGGCAAAUUUUAGCCUCGCCUGUUUACCAAAAACAUCGCCUCUUGACAAAACAUAAGAGGUCCAGCCUGCCCAGUGACAAAGUUCAACGGCCGCGGUACCCUAACCGUGCAAAGGUAGCACAAUCACUUGUUCUUUAAAUGAGGACUCGUAUCAACGGCACUACGAGGGCUAUACUGUCUCCUUUUUCUAAUCAGUGAAACUGAUCUCCCCGUGAAGAAGCGGGGAUUAUAAUAUAAGACGAGAAGACCCCAUGGAGCUUUAAACUCACCAUGCACCUCUGUGCUUUCAUACCCCUAAACACAACAGACCUGCAUGUUAGUUUUAGGUUGGGGUGACCACGGAGUAUAACUUAACCUCCACAGCAAACGGGCUAAUACCCUUAUCCACGAGACACAACUCUAAGAAUUACUAAACUAAUGCUUACGACCCGAUAUUCGAUCCAUGAACCAAGUUACCCUGGGGAUAACAGCGCAAUCUACUUCAAGAGCCCAUAUCGACAAGUAGGUUUACGACCUCGAUGUUGGAUCAGGGUAUCCCGGUGGUGCAGCCGCUACCAAUGGUUCGUUUGUUCAACGAUUAAAACCCUACGUGAUCU
Molecule: ribosomal RNA, 1031 nt
Filed under: Rana kukunoris (plateau brown frog)
Lineage: Eukaryota; Metazoa; Chordata; Amphibia; Anura; Ranidae
Description: partial large subunit ribosomal RNA
Rfam family: Bacterial large subunit ribosomal RNA
Source: RNAcentral